This 458-nucleotide ribosomal RNA is filed under the name uncultured bacterium. RNAcentral describes it as "partial 16S ribosomal RNA". It matches the Rfam family "Bacterial small subunit ribosomal RNA", at positions 28 to 507 of the family's 1533-position model. The record is from RNAcentral.
GAUAAACGCUGGCGGCGUGCAUGAGACAUGCGAGUCGAACGAAGGAUCGGGCUUGCUCGAUCCUUAGUGGCGGACGGCUGAGUAACGCGUAGGUGACCUACCCCGAAGUGGGGAAUAACUGCCCGAAAGGGUGGCUAAUACCGCAUGUGGUCGCACGUUCAUUCGUGCGAGUAAAGCCGCAAGGCGCUUCGGGAGGGGCCUGCGUCCGAUUAGCUCGUUGGUGGGGUAAUGGCUUACCAAGGCGACGACCGGUAGGUGGUCUGAGAGGACGAUCACCCAGACUGGGACUGAGACACGGCCCAGACUCCUACGGGAGGCAGCAGUCGGGAAUUUUGCUCAAUGGGGGAAACCCUGAAGCAGCAACGCCGCGUGAGGGAUGAAGGCCUUCGGGUUGUAAACCUCUUUUGUCAGGGACGAUGAUGACGGUACCUGGCGAAUAAGCCACGGCUAACUACGUG